This 34341-nucleotide long non-coding RNA is filed under the name Triticum aestivum (bread wheat). Its description in RNAcentral is "long non-coding RNA (TAES_LNC014657)". Lineage: Eukaryota; Viridiplantae; Streptophyta; Magnoliopsida; Poales; Poaceae. The record is from RNAcentral.
GCCGGACAUAUUUCUUAUCUUCAUAAAUCAGUGAUGCACAGAUUAUCUUAGCUAUAUUGUGAAUCUUGAUAACCUCACGAUGAACAAAUUUUGCGGCCUGUAUUUGGGAUAAUUCAAAUUGUUGCGAAAUGUGUUCGUCCAGGAAAAGUCACUACAUCAUAUGUCCUAGAUAAAUCUUUACUGAACAUUUUAGUUUUCCUCAUACAUGCUUAUCAUUUGGCAUAAUGUUAUUUUGCGAGCUUAAUUCUACCCUGAAUAUACAAACAAUCAGUUUGUUUAUUUUUUUUGCUGUCAUAAUAAGACCCUGAAACCAUCUUCCAUCAAACACAUAUCUGUAGUAUCUAUACUAUGUACAAGGUGCAGAUAGAUAUAUUUGUUGACCAAGCAAUUCCCCUCUUUUGAGACAAAGACCAAUAUAUGAUUACCCAUCCCCUGGUUUCCUUUCUAUUUUUUAUUCCAAUAUAACAUGAUGAGCUAUUCGUUGUUUUCUAAUUUCAGUGUAAUCUAAAAUCAGACUGUGCGAACAUAGAUGCAUUUAUUCACAAAUUAGCAAGCACCUGAGUGAAGAACCCUUAAAAUGUAUGGAAAAUGCAAUUACCACCGGCAAAUAAAUUGGCAUUUGUAUUCCAGGUAACAGUCCCGAAAAGAAAGAGGACUAUGGACCUGAGUGGGAAUGGAGGCAGGAUAUUCUUCUGGAUGGCUAUGUUGAGGUGGUGGUUGGUCCGAUCCAUGGUGUACGCAAAAUCGGUCAGCAUGGUGGAGUUGUGCUGUGGGGAGGACACUGGUUUGGAGAUCUAGGCGACUAUCUGCGUGCUGGGUGGAUCAGUAGCCCACCUCGGGAUAGAGGCAAGCGGCGCUUCACGUGUGCCUCGCCAUGCCACAACAGUGGCGUUGACAAUGUUUAAUCCUAAGACCACUAUUUUUGUGUCUAUAUGCAGUGUUCACUUUGUCUAUAUCUUGGCAAUGUUUAAUCAUAAAACCACUAAUUCUGUGUCUAUAUGCAGUGUUCACUUCAUCUAUAUCAUAUUUAUUUUAUAUGGCAAAUCAUCUUUCGAAAUUAACCAAGCCUAACUACACACUAGGAAUAUGGUGAAAACUAAUAUGAAACAACAACUUUUGUCACAUAUACCAAACCAAGGUUGCUUAUCAGUAAACACCUCAUUAUUUAGCAUAUGCUUUAGGGCCAAAUUAUGUUUCAUGUGCCAUUAUUAUUGCCUUUUUUAAUACAUUAUUUAAAUCCUUACGUGACACCAAUCUUAAACAGGUCCAUCUAUCAACGAUGUCGAGAAAGCUCUACCACAAGAAAGUGAUGACUCUGCCUGGUGUCACCGGCUUCAUGUUUUGCUCCUCCGUACCCAUAGACUAGAAGACUAGGGCUAUAUAGAUUGAUUUUUAAAACCAAUGUAAAUAAGUUGUUUUCGGCUAUCAUGCUACCUCGCAUUGUAAUAUAUAUUGCUAUGUAUGAACAUAUGCUACCCAAGUAUAUAUUUCCUUAUGCUUAAAUGACUUUCUUAUCGAUCUUAUAACAUAUCUUAUUUGUAUAGUUUGAAUACAUGGUUUUCUCUCGCUUUUUACGGCAUGGGCGCAACGGGAGUUGAUCACAAAGAGGUAGCAUUCAGGAUAUAUGCACAAAAGAGUAUAGAACCAAAUUAUAUAAUAUAAUUGACCACUAUUUCUAUUAACUUCUCAUGUACACAAUGUUCACGAGUACAUGUAUUAAGUACAUUUUAUUGUGGCACUUGUGUUUACUCUUUUUUUAAUGCAAGUUUACAGCUACUCGGUGUUCCUAAUUGCAGACUCAACUAUCUUAACCUACCGAUGAUCUAAUUUGUGGCAUUAUUACCUUAAGAAAUAUUUGCAUUUAAUUUCCUUUAUAUAUAGGGGUAUAAGUUCUUACCAAAUGUACUCAAAUAUACGGUUAUUGAAAAAAUGUAAAUAUUUUCAACACGAACAUGGUUUUAAACGGGUCUUUGCGCCAUUUGGCGCAACUGGUCAUCUAGUGAUUGCAAAAGCUGAAGCACUUGAGCUAUCUAGAAAAAACACUAAAACUACUUGCGGAUCAAGUGCCUCUUCAUCAAGAUAAAUCAUACUGUAGGUGAUGCCAUUUAUGAUCAUUCCCCUAUUCUGUAACUCCACUUGGUAAUUAGUUGAUAAUUAAAUAUGGGCUCAACCUGUGCUGCCAACAAGAGCGCCUAUACAAGGAAUGGAUCAGAAAAAACAAAGUAUACGGAACAUGAACCUAAGGAAGCAAACACAACAGGGUAUACGGAAACCUACAAUUUUACAAUCAAGCAAACAUAUUUCUGCAUAACAUCUGAUGCUCACUCAUCACCAUGAAAUUAGAUGAAUCUGUAACCCUUUUGUUGCUCUUGUGAACAUGAAACAGAGGCACCCAUUAAGAAACAAUAAACUUAAACAGGGGCUUCUAUGAGCUGAUUAGCGUUCAAAGAGGAUACACACCUCUGGUGUAGUGAAAGGAUCGAGAAGAGGUGUCUAGAGGGGGGUGAUUAGACACUAAGUGCCAAAAGCUAAAGUUUUUAAUAUUCCUAAAUUUAAGUGGAGUUUAAGCACAAGUUUAACAAACACAAUACAUAUCAAGCAAGCAUACAAUGAGUAUAUGAGCAGCGGAAAGUAAAGCAUGCAACUUGCAAGAAUGUAAAGAGAAGGGUUUGGAGUAUUCAAACGCAAUUGGAGACACGGAUGUUUUUGUCGUGGUUCCGAUAGGUGGUGCUAUCGUACAUCCACGUUGAUGGAGACUUCAACCCACGGAGGGUAACGGUUGCGCGAGUCCAUGGAGGGCUCCACCCACGAAGGCUCCACGAAGAAGCAACCUUGUCUAUUCCAUCACGGCCGUCGCCCACGAAGGACUUGCCUCACUAGCGGUAGAUCUUCACGAAGUAGGCGAUCUCCUUGCCCUUACAAACUCCUUGGUUCAAAUCCACAAUCUUGUUGGAGGCUCCCAAGUGACACCUAGGCAAUCUAGGAGACACCACUCUCCAAGAAGUAACAAAUGGUGUGUUGAUGAUGAACCCCUUGCUCUUGUGCUUCAAAUGAUUGUCUCCCCAACACUCAACUCUCUCUCACAGGAUUUGGAUUUGGUGGAAAGAACAUUUGAGUGGAAAGCAACUUGGGAAAGGCUAGAGAUCAAGAUUCAUAUGGUUGGAAUGGAAUAUCUUGACCUCAACACAAGUGUAGGUGGUUCUCUCUCAGAAAAUGUGUAUUGGAAGUGUAGGUAUGUUCUGAUGGCUCUCUCCACGAAUGAAGAGUGAGUGGAGGGGUAUAUAUAGCCUCCACACAAAAUCUAACCGUUACACACAAUUUGCCAAACUCGGUGGGACCGAAUGGUUAAACUCGGUCGGACCGAUUCAGUAAACUUAGUGACCGUUAGGAUUUUCGGUGGGACUGAGAUGCAACUCGGUAGGACCGAUAUGGUUAGGGUUAGGGCAUAACGUAAUCUCGAUGUGACCGAUUACACAAACUCGGUGGGACCAGUUUUGGUAAUAAGCUAACCAGAGAGUUGGUCAGGCAAACUCGGUGAGACCGAUUACACAAACUCGGUGGGACCAGUUUUGGUAAUAAGCUAACCAGAGGGUUUGCAUUGUAAUCUCGGUAGUACCGAUUGCUCAAACUCGGUGAGACCGAUUUUGGUAAUGGACAUACACAGAGAGAUUACAAUCCCAUCUCGGUGAGACCGAGAUCCCUAUUGGUGAAACCGAUUUGCUAGGGUUUAUGGCAGUGGCUAUGACAUCUAAAACUUGGUGGCGCCGGAUAGAUAGAAUCGGUGGGGCCGAGUUUGACUUUUGGUUUAGGUCAUAUGUGGAUGUGGGAAGGUAGUUGAGGGUUUUGGAGCAUAUCACUAUAUGACGCCCCCGAUUUAAUCGUACACUAAUCAUGCACGCAAAUGUGUACGAUCAAGAUCAGGGACUCACGGGAAGAUAUCACAACACAACUCUACAAAUAAAAUAAGUCAUACAAGCAUCAUAAUACAAGCCAGGGGCCUCGAGGGCUCGUAUACAAGUGCUCGAUCAUAGACGAGUCAGCGGAAGCAACAAUAUCUGAGUACAGACAUAAGUUAAACAGGGUGCCAUAAGAUGGCUAGCACAAACUGGGAUACAGAUCGAAAGAGGAGCAGGCCUCCUGCCUGGGAUCCUCCUAAACUACUCCAGGUCGUCGUCAGCGGGCUGCACGUAGUAGUAGGCACCUCCAGUGUAGUAGGGGUCGUCGUCGACGGUGGCGUCUGGCUCCUGGACUCCAGCAUCUGGUUGCGACAACCAGAAAGGAAGGAAGGGGAAAAAAGGGGGGGAGAAAGCAUCCGUGAGUACUCAUCCAAAGUACUCGCAAGCAAGGAACUACACUACAUAUGCAUGGGUAUAUGUGUAAGGAGGCCAUAUCAGUGGACUGAACUGCAGAAUGCCAGAAUAAGAGGGGGAUAACUAAUCCUGUCGAAGACUACGCUUCUCGCAGCCACCGUCUCGCAUCAAGUAGAAGAGAGUAGAUUGAAGUCCUCCAAGUAGCAUCUCUAAGUAGCGUCUCCAAGUAGCAUCUCCAGUAGCAUCUCCAAGUAGCAUCGCAUAGCAUAAUCCUACCCGGCGAUCCUCUCCUCGUCGCCCUGCGGAAAAGCGAUCACCGGGUUGUAUCUGGCACUUGGAAGGGUGUGUUUUAUUAAGUAUCCGGUUCUAGUUGUCAUAAGGUCAAGGUACAACUCCAAGUCGUCCUGUUACCGAAGAUCACGGCUAUUCGAAUAGAUUAACUUCCCUGCAGGGGUGCACCACAUAACCCAACACGCUUGAUCCCAUUUGGCCGGACACACUUUCCUGGGUCAUGCCCGGCCUCGGAAGAUCAACACGUCGCAGCCCCACCUAGGCACAACAGAGAGGCCAGCACGCCGGUCUAAACCUAAGCGCACAGGGGUCUGGGCCCAUCGCCCAUAGCACACCUGCACGUUGCGUACGCGGCCGAAAGCAGACCUAGCCUAGUGGCGUUCCAGUCCAAUUCGGCGCGCGCCGCUCCGUCGCUGACGUCUGAAGUGCUUCGGCUGAUACCACGACGUCGGGAUACCCAUAACUACUCCCACGUAGAUGGUUAGUGCGUAUAGGCUCGUAGCCGACUCAGAUCAAAUACCAAGUUCUCGUUAAGCGUGUUAAGUAUCCGCGAACGCCGAACAGGGCCAGGCCCACCUGUCUCCUAGGUGGUCACAACCUGCCCUGCCGCUCCGCCACAAAGUAACAGUCGAGGGCCAUCGGGAACCCAGGCCCACCUCUACCGGGAUGGAGCCACCUGUCCUUUCAGCCCCCUCGUCAGAAUCACUUGCGGGUACUCAAUGAGCUGACCCGACUUUAGUCACCAUCUGUAUAGUAUGUAUGUAUGUAUGUAUGUAUAGUAUAUACCCGUGAUCACCUCCCAAGUGAUCACGGCCCGAUAGUAUAGCAAGGCAGACUGACAAGAAUGUAGGGCCAAUGAUGAUAAACUAGCAUCCUAUACUAAGCAUUUAGGAUUGCAGGUAAGGUAUCAACAGAUGUAGCGACAAUGUCAGGCUAUGCAUCAGAAUAGGAUUAACGAAAGCAGUAACAUGCUACACUACUCUAAUGCAAGCAGUAUAGAGGAGAAUAGGCGAUAUCUGGUGAUCAAGGGGGGGGGCUUGCCUGGUUGCUCUGGCAAGAAGGAGGGGUCGUCAACUCCGUAGUCGAACUGGUCAGCAGCAGCGUCGGUCUCGUAGUCUACCGGAGAGAAGAGGGGGAAGAAAUAAUGAAUACAGAGCAAACAAAGCAUCACAAAAUAUAACAAGGCAAUACGCGGUGUUCGGUGUGCCCUAACGCGGUAGUAGGUGAUACCGGUGAAGGGGGGAAAACAUCCGGGAAAGUAUUCCCGGUGUUUCGUGUUUUCGGGCAGAGGAGCCGGAGGGGGAAAGUUGCGGGUUCGAUAGGUUAGAGGGGUGUGGCGGACGAACGGACUGCGUAUCCGGAAUCGUCUCGUCGUUCUGAGCAACUUUCAUGUUGAAAAUAUUUUAAUCCGAGUUACGGAUUAAAAGAUAUGAUUUUUUUAAAGAUUUUAUUAAUUUCUGGAAUUUAAUUAAUUAAUUAAUUAAUUAAUUAAUUCGAAAAAUGAAUUUAUGACGUCAGCAUGAUGUCAUGCUGACGUCAGCAGUCAACAGGGUUGACUUAGUCAACCCUGACAUGUGGGUCCAGUGGGACCCACCUGUCAUUCUCUAUUUAAAUUAAUUAGGGUUUAGGUUAAUCUAAUUACAGUUUAAUUAAACUUAACUAGUUAAUUAAAUUAAUUAUCUAGGAUUAAUUAACUUAAUUAUUUUAGUUAGUUAAUUAAGUUANNNNNNNNNNGACUCAGAUCAAAUACCAAGAUCUCGUUAAGCGUGUUAAGUAUCCGCGAACGCCGAACAGGGCCAGGCCCACCUGUCUCCUAGGUGGUCUCAACCUGCCCUGUCGCUCCACCACAAAGUAACAGUCGAGGGCCGUCGGGAACCCAGGCCCACCUCUACCGGGAUGGAGCCACCUGUCCUUUCAGCCCCCUCGUCAGAAUCACUUGCGGGUACUCAAUGAGCUGACCCGACUUUAGUCACCAUCUGUAUAGUAUGUAUGUAUGUAUAGUAUAUACCCGUGAUCACCUCCCAAGUGAUCACGGCCCGAUAGUAUAGCAAGGCAGACUGACAAGAAUGUAGGGCCAAUGAUGAUAAACUAGCAUCCUAUACUAAGCAUUUAGGAUUGCAGGUAAGGUAUCAACAGAUGUAGCGACAAUGUCAGGCUAUGCAUCAGAAUAGGAUUAACGAAAGCAGUAACAUGCUACACUACUCUAAUGCAAGCAGUAUAGAGGAGAAUAGGUGGUAUCUGGUGAUCAAGGGGGGGGGCUUGCCUGGUUGCUCAGACAAGGAGGGGUCGUCGGUGACGUAGUCGUACUCGGUGGCAUCAGCGUCGGUCUCGUAGUCUACCGGAGAUAAGAGGGGGAAGAAACAAUGAAUACAAUGCAAACAUAAACACGACGAUGCGUGACGUGACAAUGAGCGGUGCUAGGUGUGCCCUAACGUGGUAUGAGGUGGUACCGGUUAAGGGGGGAAACAUCCGGGAAGUAUUCCCGGUGUUUCACGUUUUCGGGCAGAGGAGCCGGAGCAGGAAAGUUGCGAGUUCGAUAGGUUAGGGGUGUGUGGCGGACGAACGGACUGCGUAUCCGGAAUCGUCUCUUCGUUCUGAGCAACUUUCAUGUACAAAGUUUUUCCAUCCGAGCUACGGUUUAUUUUAUAUUAAUUUUAAAAGAUUUAAAUCAUUUUUAGGAUUUAUUUAUUUAAUUUAAUCAACAUUAUCCAGAAUAGUGUCUGAUGACGUAGGCAUGACAUCAGGGUGAUGUCAGCAGUCAACUGUGCAGUUGACUGGGUCAACUAUGUGUGGGUCCCGCAUGUCAUUGACUGAUUAGGCUAAUCAGGGGUUAAUUAAGUUAACUAGUAAUCAGGUUAAUCUAAUCCUGAUUAAUUAAUUUAAUUUAAUUAAUUCUUUAAUUAAUUAAUUAAUUAAUUAUUUUUAUUUUUAUUUUUAAUUCUUCUCUCUUUUUUUUUAUUAAAACAUUUUGGGCAUGGGGCCCAUCUGUCAUAGGCCCCAGGGGCCAAACCGGAACGGGCGCAACUCGUAACGGGCGCAGGGGCGCCCGAUAGGGGCCAACCCGGGCGCUGGCCUCGGGCGAGACCAGCGGCGCGACGGGGCCAGCCCGGCCGCCGGCGGCGAGGCAGGAAGGGGCGUGGGGCGAGGUCNNNNNNNNNNAGGUUAAUCUAAUCCUGAUUAAUUAAUUUAAUUUAAUUAAUUCUUUAAUUAAUUAAUUAAUUAAUUAUUUUUAUUUUUAUUUUUAAUUCUUCUCUCUUUUUUUUAUUAAAACAUUUUGGGCAUGGGGCCCAUCUGUCAUAGGCCCCAGGGGCCAAACCGGAACGGGCGCUACUCGUAACGGGCGCAGGGGCGCCCGAUAGGGGCCAACCCGGGCGCUGGCCUCGGGCGAGACCAGCGGCGCGACGGGGCCAGCCCGGCCGCCGGCGGCGAGGCAGGAAGGGGCGUGGGGCGAGGUCGGGCCGCGGCGACUGCGGGAACCCAGGGGCGCGGGCACCGGACACAGCCGCGGGGGCGACGGCCACGGCGCGAGCGGGCAGGGGUGGUCGCGGGGUGGAGGGUGCUCGGAGUUGGCCGCGGGUGUAGCGGCGUCGCCGGUGCAGGGGGGAUUCGGUGGUCGCAUCGGAGGCGGCAGGGGCUGGGGGCCACGGCAGGUGCGGUGCGCGGGCACGGCGCGGUGAGCGCGCAACGGACGCGGCCGGAGCGCGUCAACCGGGGGCGAGCUCGGCGGGGACCGCGGAGACGAGCGCNNNNNNNNNNGUGGGGGGGAGUGGGAGGUCUCGUCCCCGAUCCAGACUGAGCGGAGAGGAGGAGGGGAUCGGGGCGAGGGGAUCGGGGGGAGGGGAAGUGGGGACGAGUGGGGGGGGAACCGCUAGGGUUUCGGUCGCCCCAGGGGGCUAUAGGCACCGGCUGGGCCGGCCUGGUUGGCCCAAAGGCCAGCUGGGCUGUGGCCCAGUGGGGGGGGUUCUUUCCCUCCUUUUUUUUUUGUUUCCUUUUCUUCUUUUUUUUAUUCUAUUUCUUUUCAGUUUUCUUUUAUUUUUGUUUUAUAAAAUAUAAAAGUUGUAUCUUAAAUAGUAACACUAAUUAUACCUCUGCCACAAAAAGGUUUAACCCCCAAAUAAUAUAGUUUAGUAUUUUAUAAAAUACCAACACACUUAUUUAUUAUUUUACCGACAGUUUUAAUUAAUUGAAUGCAUUUAGACAUUUUAUAAAAAUGUGGUUCCUCCACCAACAUUACUUAUGAAUUAUUUGUUACAUUUAGAACAUUUUAGUUUUGACUUUUGAAAACUUUAACUGUUUGACUUUAUUUUGAAUUUGAAUUUGAAUCGGUUUCGAACUAACUCGAGAUUAGCAACUAUAAACAAGGUGACGUGGCACCAUUAGCGGAGGAUCACUGUAGCUUAAUUACCCGGGCGUCACACACUAAGCACUUUGAGUAAGCAUGCCAUUAAGCAACACCUCAUCCCCUCUUGAUAGUAUUGGCUUUUCCUAUAGACUCAAUGUGAUCUUGGAUCACUAAAAUAGAAAAUAUAGUCUUGAUCUGAAGCUUGAGCCAAUCCUUUGUCCUUAGCAUCUUGAAGGGGUUCCACAUCCUCUAGUCCAUGCCACUCCAUUGUUGAACUUAUCUGAAACAUACUAGGUAAAAGUGUUAGUCCAACAAGAUAUAUGUUGACAUUAAUUACCAAAACCACCCAGGAAGCACUUGUGCUUUCAAUCUCCCCAUUUUUGGUAAUUGAUGACAACAUACAUCAAAGCUUUAGAUAAAGAUAUAGAGAAUAGCAAGUAAAGCUUUGGAAAGACAUGUAACAUGCAUAGACUCCCCCUACAUGUAUGCAAUCAUGUGAAUAUUGAACAUAGAAGCAUGUGAAUGCGUAAACAUGACAGAGUAAGCAAUGUGUUACAUGUAUCUUGGCUAUAUGCAUCAGAGCAAAUGAUGUGAAUGUGAGAAAUGUACUUUCAUGCUCAUGAGUCCUUCUUGCCAACAGUAUGUACAUCAGCAAAACUUCUCAUUCACAUGACUGUGAUGCAUAUACUUACCUUGUGGUAUUGAGUUGACUUAGGAUGGGAUGAACCUGCGCAAACAAGGUUAAAUAACAUAGAUACACCUACUGACCAGAGCAAGCAAGAGAAACCACAAGAGAACCAAGACUGGGAUGACAUGUAGAGUGAGUACUAAGUAUCACAUUGGAUAUAGACAUGUCCUCAAAGGUAAAGAUAUGCAAUAAAAUCAGAUAUUUCCUUCCCUUAGAUGUCUUGCUCCCCCUGAAUCUGCAUGGGAUAUUGGGAGAAGAUAGGGAACAGAAAAUCAGAGCAACAAAAAAGGAAACAACAAAGCUUGAGCUAAAGCAAGCAACCAAACAUGUCUUUCCCCUCUUAAAGACAUGUGACAUCUCUCCUCUUGAACACCAAGCAUCAGAGGUCUUUGAUGAUAUUACUUUCUCCUAGUUGAGAAACUCUCUCCCCCUGAGUAUUCUCUCUUUCUCCCCCUAUAGGAAGGAUUAAGCUUUGAUGUGAUCUCUCUCUCCCCCUUUGACAUCAAUUUCCAAGAAGGGCUCUUCUGGACAUGUGAUACAAAUGGGUUGGUCCUCGAGUCACAGAGCAAAGCAGCAUGUCUAAUGUGAUGCUGGUAGAGGACAAGAAUCAUUGAGUGGAGCUGGAGCAAACAGAAAUCAGGAAUAAGUGGCAAGUUGGUUUCCCUGUGGUGGAAUCGGUGACUCCGAGUUGUGUGCUUCGAUUGCACCGAAAGAUUUCGGUUGGGCCCAAGAGAACAAACCGGUAUGACCGAGUUCAUUAGAGUGAAACCACUUGUCACCUCAGCUCACUAGACAAGUAAGAUCUCAUAAGGAUAUGCAAGGAAUUUACUGAAAGAUUUGCAAUGAAUUGGAUGCAGAAAAUGCAGAACAAAAAGGAAAGAAAAGAAACUAAAAGUUUUAGAUGAAGUUUUUUUUAGAACUUUAUCUAGAGAUGGUCAGCGAUAAAGUCACCCGUGUUAGAGUAUUUGACUUAGGAGUCAAGUGAGAGCACUUGAUCAUAGGUCAUACUCAUUGUUUAAGCUCAAAAUGGGGUUACCAUUUUUCAUUUAAGCCUUUUGAUGUAUUCACAUCUUGUCGAGUUGCUUUGACUCAUGACUUGGAGUAAAACUUCUCUAAGAUGGAAUAACAUACCUUGGAUGGUGGUGUUGAUCUUGCUCAUGUAGUUGAACUUGUGCGGGUUGCUCAAGGUUGAUGUAGUUCAUCAAGGGUUGGGAGCACCACUUGGAGUUUGAGUUCAUCUACCUAUAUGGGUUAGCUUUGUAAGGAAGAGCACUUGUGUAUCCAAAAUGACAAUCAUGAGACUCAACAUAGAAUUUGCCAAAGGAUAUGUUUGAAUAGUUUCGUGCUUCCUUGUCUUCAACCACCAUUGUGUAGAGACUUGGUGAUGUAGAGAUUGCUCAAGAUGUGAGUGAGUUGCAAUCUCAUAGAUUUAGAUUCAACCAAGUACCUACACGGGUUAGAAAACAUGCAAGGUACAAAUAUAUCCAAGACAUAUGAAUAGCAUCAUAAGAGAAAUAUCGAGGAUUAGUCAUAGGCUCAUGCCCCGCAUGUAUCAAAUGGAGUUCCUACUCCAAGUUUGAAGCAUCAAUGAUGUUCAAUUCACCUCUCAACCUGCAAAACACUUUCUCAUCAAGUGGUUUAGUGAAUAUAUCCGCCAAUUGCUUAUCAAUGUGAACAUGCUUAAGGUUAAUGUCCCUUUUUGUAACAUGAUCUCGAAUGAAAUGAUGAUGAACUUCAAUAUGCUUAGUUCGAGAAUGUUGCACGGGAUUGUGAGCAAUAUUAAUAGCACUUUCAUUGUCACAUAGCAAUGGAACAUGUUUCACAUAUAUCCCAUAAUAUUUAAGAGUUUGGGUCAUCCAAAGUAAUUGAGCGCAACAUGAACCAGCGGCAAUGUAUUCCGCUUCGACGGUGCAUAAGGAUACUGAGUUUUAUUUUUUGGAAGACCAAGACACAAGAGAUCUACCAAGGAAUUGACAAGUAUUCGAAGUGGAUUUUCUAUCAACCUUGUCUCCGGCAUAGUCCGAAUCAGAGUAGCCAACAAGAUCAAAAGAGGACCUCUUAGGAUACCAAAUGCCAAAAUUUGGUGUAUGGAUUAGGUAUCUCACUAUCCUUUUCACAGCCUUAAGAUGACACUCUUUAGGAGCAGCUUGAUAUCGUGCACACAUACACACACUUAGCAUAAUAUCGGGACGAGAGGCACAUAGAUAUAACAAUGAAUCAAUCAUAGAGCGAUAAACUUUUUGAUCAACCGGUUCACCAUCUUUGGUUAAAAUAAGAUGUCCACUAGUAGACAUGAGUGUAGUCAUACAUUUGCAUUCUUGCAUAUUGAACUUCUUAAAUAAGUCCUUAGUGUACUUCGUUUGAGAGACAAAUGUACCUUCCUUAGUUUGCUUGAUUUGCAAACCGAGAAAGAAUUUGAGUUCACUCAUCAUAGACAUCUCAAACUUCUCCGACAUUAGUUUUUCAAACUUCUCACUAAAAUGAGGGUUAGUUGAACCAAAUAUGAUAUCGUCAACAUAAAUUUGGCACACAAAUAGUUCUCCAUUAACCCUUUUAGUAAAAAGAGUAGAAUCAAUUUUACCAAUUUCAAAGCCUUUUUCAAUAAGGAACUUGGUCAAGCAUUUAUACCAUACUCUAGGAGCUUGUUUAAGACCAUAAAGGGCUUUGUGAAGUUUAUAAACAUGAUUAGGUUUCUUAGGAUUGACGAAGCCGGGAGGUUGCUUAACAUAAACUUCCUCAAUUUUGCCAUUUAGAAAAGCACUUUUAAUGUCCAUUUGGUACAAGGUGAUAUCAUGGUGAUUAGCAUAAGAAAGUAAGAUGCGAAUGGACUCAAGUCUAGCAACGGGAGCAUAUGUCUCACCAUAGUCCAUACCUUCAACUUGUGUGUAGCCUUGGGCGACGAGACGUGCUUUGUUGCGAACCACUUGUCCAUCUUCAUCUUGUUUGUUGUGAAACACCCAUUUGGUACCAAUGAUGUUGUGGUUGUUGUCGGGCUUCUCGACCAAUGUCCACACUUGAUUCUCUCAAAAUUGUGUAGCUCUUCAUGCAUAGCGUUUAUCCAGUCCGGAUCCUCCAAUGCUUCUUCAACCUUCAUAAGUUCAAUGCUAGAGAUGAAUGAGUAAUGUUCACAAAAGUUAGCUAAACGAGUUUUAGAGCGAGUGAUUCUCCCGGUUUGGAUAUCAUUGUAGAUUUGCUCGACGGGAUGAUCCUUAGCAAUUCUUGCUCGAACUCGUGAAAGAUUUUGCUUGGGUCGGGGUGGAACAUCCUCUUCAUCUUGUGCUUCUUCUUGGCCUUCUUCAUUGUUGACGUUGUCGUUCUUUUGUCGUGGUGUAGAAGGAGGUUGUUGAUGUUCAUCUUGGUGCGCUUCCUCGUUUUCUUCAUCUUGGCGUGUCCCACUUGUGGAUGCUUUCGUAUCAACUCUUGGUUCACCUUGUCGUGAGGUAGAAGCUUCCACUUGGACGGACGAGGUACUCUCCUUCACUUCCGUUGGACGAAUCUUGCCAAUGGACAAGUCUUGAAUUGCUUCCGAAUGGUCUUUGUCUCCUACAUCAAUUGGCAAUUGCUCUACUUGCGAGCCGUUAGAUUCAUCAAACUUCACAUCUACCGUCUCUUCAACCUUUCGGGUGAAAUUGUUGUAGACUCGGUAGUGUGAGAGUUUGAGCCAUAACCAAGUAGGAAACCUUCAUGAGAUUUAGGAGCAAAUUUAGAACGACGAUGCUUAUCAAGAAUGUAGCACUUUGAGCCGAAUACUUGAAAGUAUCCAACUUGGGGUUUGUUACCGGUGAGGAGCUCGUCUGCCGUCUUGCCAAGUAACUUGUGAAGAUACAAGCGAUUUGUUGUAUGACAAGCUGUCUCAACCGCUUCCGCCCAAAAGUGCUUUGGCGUUUUGUACUCAUCAAGCAUCGUUCUUGCCAUCUCGAUAAGAGUCCGAUUCUUCCUUCCAACAACUCCAUUUUGUUGAGUUUUGUACGUAGCCGAGAACUCGUGUGAAAUCCCUUCUUCAUCAAGAAAGGUGUCCACAUUUGCGUUCUUGAACUCCGUUCCGUUGUCGCUCCGAACCUUCUUGAUCUUUAUGUCAAACUGAUUUUGGGCCUUCCUAGCGAAGUUUUUGAAGAUCUUUUGGACCUGCGAUUUGUCAUCAAGAAAGAACACCCACGUAAAUCUUGAAAAAUCAUCAACUAUGACUAGACCAAAUGAGUUACCACCGAGACUCUUGUAGGCAUUUGGACCAAAGAGAUCCAUGUGAAGUAGCUCGAGUGGUCUUCUUGUGGUCAUGAUGUUCUUCGGGCGGUGACUUUCUCCAACUUGUUUCCCUGCUUGACAAGCACUACAAAGUCUAUCCUUGUCAAAUAUGACAUCUUUUAUUCCAAGGAUAUGAUCACCUUUAAUAAGCUUAUCAAGAUUUCGCAUACCAACAUGACCUAGUCUUCUAUGCCACAACCAACCUUUAGAAGAUUUGGUAAUUAAGCAAGUUCUAGGUUGAGCCUCUUUAGUGAAAUCAACAAUGUAAAGAUCUCCUCUACGUAUACCGGUAAAAGACCAUUUUAUGAUUGUCUCUACGAAACACUUGGCAAUCUACUUCAAUGAAUAAGACAUUGAAACCGAAAUCCGCAAGUCUAGAAACUGAAAGUAAAUUGUAUCCAAGGGAUUCAACGAGCAUGACAUUUUGUAUGGAGCUAUCAUGUGAGAUGGCCACCUUACCAAGGCCAACCACCUUACCCUUUGAAUUAUCACCAAAAGUGACAUAUUUUUUAGGACCGUCGUUUUCAGCAAGCUCACGGAACAUAUCUUUAUCUCCGGUCAUAUGAUCAGUACAUCCACUAUCAAGGACCCAUUCCUUUCCUCCAGCCAUGUAGUCGCGAAGAUUUGCCAUAAGACCAAAAUGCCUCAUUGCAUCAUCAAGAUCAUAGUCACUAUCAUCAUCUUCAUCAUAGUAUCCAUGUUCAACAUCAUCUUGUGAUUGAUCAAUUCCUAAAGAGGGUAAUUCAUUAGAUAAAUGAUCAUCACAAUGGUUAUCUUUAUGAAUUCUAAUAGCUUUGGAUAUGAUAUCCCUAAUGAUUCCAACAUUUCUUUUAGCACGCACGAGAUUGGUAAGCUCAAAUAGAUAAUCACCAAAACUAGGAUCACUAGAGUUCAUCUUACUCAAGGCAAUAGACUUAUGAAGAAUUUCGUCUAAAUUUUUCAAGGAAUAAUCUGGAAAUCGUUCCUCAAGAAAUCUCCAUAUGGUGUAGGCAUACUUGAGAGUAGGCAAACAUCUAAUCAAGUUUCUAGGCAAGCCUCUAAUGAUGAGCUCAACAGUUCUAAGAUUGUGAAUCAUGUCAAUAUAUUCAUCUAGGGUAGGGUGCAAAGGAUCAACAUGAGAUGCACAAGGGCUAGUAAUGUACUUGUUCAAAUGAUAUUCAUUAAAAAUCUCAAGCAUUUCAUUUUUCUACUCAUGAAAAUACUCUCCAUCAAGAAUAGGCACUCUAUGUCUAAGACUCCCCAAAAUAGACACAUCCAUCUUCCUCCAAUGGUGUUUAAACCAAGGCAAUGGAGACCAAAGCUCUGAUACCAAUUGAAAGGAUCGAGAAGAGGUGUCUAGAGGGGGGUGAUUAGACACUAAGUGCCAAAAGUUGCAGUUUUUAAUAUUCUUAAAUUUAAAUGGAGUUUAAGCACAAGUUUAACAAACACAAUACAUAUCAAGCAAGCAUGCAAUGAGUAUAUGAGCAGCGAAAAGUAAAGCAUGCAACUUCCAAGAAUGUAAAGAGAAGGGUUUGGAGUAUUCAAACGCAAUUGGAGACACGGAUUUUUUGUCGUGGUUCCGAUAGAUGGUGCUAUCGUACAUCCACGUUGAUGGAGACUUCAAUCCACGGAGGGUAACGGUUGCGCGAGUCCACGGAGGGCUCCACCCACGAAGGGUCCAUGAAGAAGCAACCUUGUCUAUUCCAUCACGGCUGUCACCCACGAAGGACUUGCCUCACUAGCGGUAGAUCUUCACGAAGUAGGCGAUCUCCUUGCCCUUACAAACUCCUUGGUUCAAAUCCACAAUCUUGUUGGAGGCUCCCAAGUGACACCUAGUCAAUCUAGGAGACACCACUCUCCAAGAAGUAACAAAUGGUGUGUUGAUGAUGAACCCCUUGCUCUUGUGCUUCAAAUGAUUGUCUCCCCAACACUCAACUCUCUCUCACAGGAUUUGGAUUUGGUGGAAAGAACAUUUGAGUGGAAAGCAACUUGGGAAAGGCUAGAGAUCAAGAUUCAUAUGGUUGGAAUGGAAUAUCUUGACCUCAACAUAAGUGUAGGUGGUUCUCUCUCAGAAAAUGUGUAUUGGAAGUGUAGAUAUGUUCUGAUGGCUCUCUCCACGAAUGAAGAGUGAGUGGAGGGGUAUAUAUAGCCUCCACACAAAAUCUAACCGUUACACACAAUUUGCCAAACUCGGUGGGACCGAAUGGUUAAACUCGGUCGGACCGAUUCAGUAAACUUAGUGACCGUUAGGAUUUUCGGUGGGACUGAGAUGCAACUCAGUAGGACCGAUAUGAUUAGGGUUAGGGCAUAACGUAAUCUUGGUGUGACCGAUUACACAAACUCGGUGGGACCGGUUUUGGUAAUAAGCUAACCAGAAAGUUGGUCAAGCAAAUUCGGUGAGACCGAUUACACAAACUCGGUGGGACCGAUUUUGGUAAUAAGCUAACUAGAGGGUUUGCAUUGUAAUCUCGAUAGUACCGAUUGCUCAAACUCGGUGAGACCGAUUUUGGUAAUGGACAUACAUAGAGAGAUUACAAUCCCAUCUCGGUGAGACCGAGAUCCCUAUCGGUGAAACCGAUUUGCUAUGGUUUGUGGCAGUGGCUAUGACAUCUGAAACUCGGUGGCGCCGGAUAAAUAGAAUCGGUGGGGCCGAGUUUGACUUUUGAUUUAGGUCAUAUGUGGAUGUGGAAAGGUAGUUGAGGGUUUUGGAGCAUAUCAAUAAGCAUUUUGAGUAAGCAAGCCAUUAAGCAACACCUCAUCCCCUCUUGAUAGUAUUGGCUUUUCCUAUAGACUCAAUGUGAUCUUGGAUCACUAAAAUAGAAAAUAUAGUCUUGAUCUUGAAGCUUGAGCCAAUCAUUUGUCCUUAGCAUCUUGAAAGGGUUCCACAUCCUCUAGUCCAUGCCACUCCAUUGUUGAACUUAUCUGAAACAUACUAGAUAAAAGUAUUAGUCCAACAAGAGAUAUGUUGAUAUUAAUUACCAAAACCACCUAGGGAGCACUUGUGCUUCCAUGUAGCCACCACAUGCGACAUUAGACGGCUCGACGGAUGUUCAUCACUCAUCUUAAGGACCUGGAAAAAAAAUCAAAGAUGCAAAUCUUGGCAUGAACGAAGCUAGCAAAAAGGAUACCAAGAUCCAUACUACAAGCUGUUUGUACAAAAUCAUAAGUUAAACACACUCAGUUAUCUACCACAGACUAAUCAAAGUUACAAGUUUACUCAAGGAAUCAAGAGCUACCUAUGGUAAGGUGUCAAAUCUAUUCUUGAGGUCCAAUGAACAACAUGUAUUACAAAUUAUGCAAUUUGCAUGCGUUCCUAGCAAUAUCGUUUAAAUGCAGCGUGUCUUGCAUCAUAUAUCGGGACUGAGAGGGGGAACUUACAGUCUGCACGUCGGUGUCAUCGAGAGUGAAAAGGACCCGCGCAUUGCAACGGGAGAAAAAAACAUAAUCUUCAAAGUCCAUGAAAACAUUUUGCUGCAUCACCAAUAACAUUUUGGCGAACAUUUUGUUCAAUUUUCUUAACAUUUUUCUAUACACCAACUUUUUUUUAAAAUGAUGAUUUUUUUAUUUCCCAAACAUUUGUUUUAAAAAACGCGAAUAUUUUUUGAAUAUGCGAACAUCUUUAAAAGAAUAUGAACUGAUUUUGAAUUCACAAACAUUUUAUGAUUUAUUGAGAAUUUUAUUUAAAAAUUCUCUUUUUUAAUUUUUGGAACUUUUUUAAGUACCAAAUUAUGUGAUACCAAAAAAUAAAGAAAUUUUCUUAGAUCAGAAAACUAAGAAUGCUAGAAGCAAAUUAAUUCAGGAGAUGAUUUCAUGAGUAAUUGAUGCUAUUCUGCAGCAGGGAAUGAGGAAAAAAAUAGAAUGAACAUAUCACAUACUUGAACAAACCAAAUUAGCUGCAGGCAAGGUAUCUAUAAAAAACUUAUCUGCCCAGAAUAGAAAUGUGAUACAUCCACGCGUAUUUCAAACUGAAGGCCUCGUCCUCAUAGCCAAUAUGUAUAAUAAUACCAUUCUUCCGCAUGCUCUCCCUAAACCAUACAAAAAGCAUUGAAGAUCUUGAAUGCGGUGAGAAGAGGAAGAGCAUAUUUGCCUUUUCAUACAAAAGAUUGUAUUACCCUGCUCCAAUCAUACUUUUGCUUCUGGGAUCGGAAAACUGCAAAGGACUGUGUUGUAGGUUCUCAGAUUAAGGGGAGGUUGAGAACGACUAACCACAGUAGCGUGAAAUUGGAUAUUAAAUCCGGUUCGUGGCAUGCAUUGCUAGUGAUCGAGGAGUAUCAGGCCUGUGGAAGUCUUGUAGUUCCGUGUUGACCUUGAAGAUGGCCGGGCGGAGAUGUCAUGAACACGCCAGGGAGAACUUUAUUAGGGUAAAACAACCAUCAUGACCGUGGAACCUGAAUAUCCCAAAAUCAAAACAAAGAAAACCAUAUAACCUGAUCACCUCUUGAUGCCCUGCUUGUGGAUCAAUUGGCGCGAGCUUGGUGAUGACCGUGGACAAAACUGGUAGAAUGACCCAAACACCGCAACAACGACAAAGAGACGAAGACGAACGUACAAUCCGUGCUUACCUCCUCCUUCCCUCGUGCGCUACACCAGGAGGGGAGCGCCCCAGCAUCUGACAAAACUGGUAGAAUGACCCAAACACCGCAACGACGACAAAGAGACGAACGUCCAAUCCGUGCUUGCCUGGAGGUCACGUACGUGUUGUAUGUAGAUGUAACAUUAUACACGAUGGAAGUGUAUCCAGUCAGGGUAGAUGAGCACCUGGGUGUUGUGACUGUUGUCACUGCUGCGGCGGGGAGCUGGAAGUUGCCGAGCUAACUGCGGAAGAUCUGGAUGGCUGGUGGCCAUCAUGUUGAUCAGCAUGUACACCAUCAUGACCAGCGUGGCAAGAGGCGCAAGCAGUCGUAGCUCCAGCAAUGGUGUCGUGCCGCGCCGCAGUUGGACAGCAGCGUGUAUACAAUUUCAUAUAAGCAACUUCCAUUGUAGGAUUCAGAUUACAAACUUUAGGAAACAUGUCGAUUACUGUACUGGAGGUCUGGAGCAAACACUGACCAGUGGAAGACGGAUGAAACUCAUCCCGAUUUUUCCAAUCAACUUGCGGUAACUCAUAGUAAUCCUACACACGCAGAUUUCCCAUGAGAAACUUACUCACAAUUAAUCUACCAAGCCACAGGCUACAGUACUCACGGUGGAUGAAUAGAAGAGGCAAAGGCAUGGAUGUCGACUUCACCUUGGUCUUGGAGCCGAAGACAAAGGAUAUCCGUGUCGAAAUCGACGACAACCUCUUCACUCAGCCGCGUGGCUUGUCGUCGUUCUCCCACUCCCACAUCGUUCCCUCCCCCUCGCCUCGCCGGAUUCCUUCGUUGUGCGUCCUGCAGGAAUUGGACCUCAUGGGUGCGCCACAAGCAAGAAAGAUUCUAGACGUUUGGUGCUCCUCCGUCUCUAUAGGAUCUGCCCCUCACAUCCUCUCUCCCGAGCCAAUUUAUGGGAGGAGUUAGACAGGCGAUGAGAGAUGCGGAGUUAGAAUCCUGAGGGGUCACGAGAAAGAUUGGGUGAUGGGCGACGCCGAGGGGCGGAGGGCCGGCGACGGGGGGCGACGGGGGGCACCGCGCGGCGAUGGGGGCCAGGGGCCGGCGGCGCACGGUGGGGCGUGGGCGGGAGGUGGUGGCGCGAUGGAGGCGGAGAUGGGAAGGCAGGGUCGUGGGUGGGUUUUCUUUUCUCUCCUCUGUACCGGUUCGGUUGACUUACACGACGACUGCGGGUUCAAUCUAUAUUACUAUUAAACAAUCGAGUUGUGACAGAAACAUUACAUCUCAGCCAUACUUUUAUCAUCUCUCAAUGGAUCAGAUUGCCUUAAUGUUGUAUCACAUCAUUUAUCAUAAUCAAUUAACAAUAAUUAUCAUGAUUUACGCCAUCAUAAUUACGCAAUAAUUACCACGAUUUCGCUCCAACCUAGGCCUAUUUUAAUCAUAUCAAUUAGCAAGAAUUGCCAUGAUCUACGCCAUCAUAUUUUUUUUGAAACUCGGCAUUGUAUGCUGCGUACAUAGAAGAAAAAAAAUAUCAAUUAGCAAUAAUUACCAUGAUCUACGUCUAUCAUGUUUUUUUUUGAAACUCAGCCUUGUGUACUGCGUACAUAGAAGGAAAAAAGAAAAAGGUCUGGCCCAUGUUCGCAUGUAGGCAGAGAAUAACGGGCAAACCAAAGCACUCGUUUCUCUGUUUGUUUGGAUCAGAGGAUCGAUCAGACCCUGGCCUUGAUUUUGAUCGUUCUUGACUUCCGUCACUUCUUUUUUUGUUCACCAGUUUGAGUGUUCGUCGUCUUCGACGGCUCGGCUCUUGGUUUGACUCCCCGGUCUUCUCGUCCCGAGGAACGAUAGUGACGUGGGCAUGCAGCACUACGCGGCUAGGACAGGUACGAGCACGUCUCCUAUGCCUUCACAUGUACUAUUAAUUACUCAAACUUGUCUGAAACUGGGGUUCAGAGAUCGACCAUCAAUUCAUCCUGGAUCAAAUCCAUUUUCGAGGAACAAAAUUCCUGAUCAGCGCCAGGCAAAUAAUUAAAGCCUGAUCUCAUCGCAGCUCCAUUUAAUUGCAUGCUCGUUGUGGGGAGAUUGGACGUACCUCCCACUAAGUAGCGGAUCCACCCGAUUAAUCCGGGCCAGCGAAUUCGUAUGCCACACACGUAAUCUCCAUCCAGUUAAGAUGGGAAUCCCUUCGCAGCAAGCGGAACAAUAGUAAUUAAGCUCGGUGCAGCUGGUUCGUACGUGGUACUGUGGUACGAGCAGCGCCCCAUACUUAGCAUAUGUCUUUCACUCCUAAAUAUGGAUUCUAUAGUUAAUGGCUUGGUAAAACUUUUGCUAAAUCACAUAUAAAUAUUACAAUUUGAUCCAACUUUACACAAUGCAGAUAUGAAAGGAAAAAUCCAAAUUGAUGUGAUAUGGGAUUCACACUGAUGUUUCAUGACCUUUGGUCCUUGUAAUACUGGAAGCAAUCCAAUCGCUUGUUCAGGUGUCAAAUAAGAUGUGCAUGUUUCCAACACUUAUCUUAAGGAGUGAAAUUAUUUUUCCACUGAAAAGGAGCAUGUGUCAUUUGUCUUCCCUAUCAUGUAAAAAACAUGUUUUAUUUCCCUUGAAUUAGAGUGAAAAACAGGGUAGACUGUUGGUUAAUGUGAUAUUCUAUUUUUGUCAGAUGGCUUGAAAUUUCUUUAACAUUACUUUUAAUGUUAAUGUCAUGUACCAUCAUAUUUAUAUCCAAACUUUGGCGUGAGGUUAUAUUGCCAGUUUAUGUUAUGUUCGGUUCACAAAUAUAUAUUGCCAGUCAAUGCCUUUAAGCUUUGUUGGUAGAUUCUGUCAUAAAAUCUAUUUCUACUUUUAGUGUAAAAUUGACUUAUACACAGUUUGACAUUUUCAGACAUUGUGCUUACAUGUGCUUGCUUUCGCUAUAUUUACUAUAGAUAGUGUUCUGACAGAUUUUAUAAAGUAUGUCGAUAGUUGAAUCAUGUAUCCUUGACUUGAUAGACAAGUUCAAAGAUUUACAUUCUUCAGAGUGCAUAACUGACACGCUAGAUACUAACAUCGACUGCUUGUAUAACCAACAUUUAGUUCAAGGAAGCUUCAGAUCUUACCUUGGAAAUUUCUUUUACCUCUUCUAUCGAGCACGGACAUGCUUUCCAAUUAUUGAUUACCUAUUUUACACACAAAAAAGUUCCCAAUAAUCUUUUCUACAAUAGUCCAACAUAAUCAAAGGAGUCACUAAAAUUAACCUAGAAAUACCAAGGGAACCUAUAGGCAUGGCCGCCACAAUAAUCAAUCCUCCUCCCUCGACACUUAUGCCACCACUCCCCUUCCCGUGAUUCAAUUUUCUCUCUAUUUCAUAACUCUAUGAUACGUGUGUUGCACGUGCAUACUUACUAGUUGUCUAAAAUACAGGGGCUUCUCUGCAAAUUGGCCAGUAUAUUUGGCAAUAGAUGUUUGUGAGUGAACACUUUAGAAAAACUGUAGUAUAUGUGCAAAUAAAAAACAUGUUUUCUUGCCAACUAAACAUGCAUAUUGGCCAAAAACUGAGAAAAUGUAUCCUGGCCAACUGAGACAUCUAUUCUAGCCAAUUAAAUGCAUUAACUGUCCAACUGAACAUGCAUGUUGGCCAAAAACUGAAAUAAAUGCAAUCUGGCCAGCUGAGACAUCUAUUCUAGCUAACUAAAAACAUUGAAUGUCCAACUAAAUAUGUAUGCUGGCCAAGUGGAAAAAUGCAUCCUGGCAAUUGAGACGUCUAUUCUAGCGAAAACCAAAAAUCUGUAGUGCAACAGUAAAAACACAAGAACUUUUGUCCAUGGCUAAUGAAGCCACAAACCAUAUUAACAUAUUCACACAUAUAAUCUUGUCCCACACAUAUAUUCUGGUCCCACACCUAUUGCAAACCAUAUUAAUGUGUUCAAAUAUACCAGAACUAGAAACAUAAACGGCGAUGAAAAACAUAUAACUAUAAUCUGUCCUCCAAUUCUUCUUUUUUCUUUCACUUGGAUUUUCCUUCUCAAAUGUAACAUCCAAUUAUGUGCAGAAAAAUCUAAAAAGAGCUCCUUGCGAAACGGAAACCUGCAGAUCAUUGCAACAAAACAAAAGGGAAAAAGUCAGAAAACUCUGUAGUAAAAAGAAGUCAUGCUCUUGCUAGUUAUUUACUGCAAACCGUGCAACUAAUAUAACAACUCUGUGCAAACAAAAAAAUUCAUAAUUGUUAUAAUAAAGAUUAUGCUACAGUCAUGUUGCUUUUGGAACUAAGAAUAUCACAAAAUGGUGUGCAACUGCCUAUUUACUAAGUUUUUAGGUUGUUUGAAAUACUCUUUUCUGUGGUUACCAACUGAUGACAUCAAUUUCUUCUUUUAUAUAUGUGCAGGGAGUGUGUGGCAGCAUCCAAAAAAAGGAAAAAAAAUGCUUGAUCUCAAUGAGUUGCCCGCUGAUCUCAAUGAGCUUCCUCAUGAUAUGGAUCAGCAGCAACCCAGCAUACAACAAGGAAAUUGGACAGAAAAUGGUCGAUCUGUUUGCUACACGCAGGCAAGUCGUGAUGGUAACCCUACGAGCCAUGACAAUGUGGCAGGCCAGUCAUUAGCCCGUGGUGCCCCUAUAGUGGUGUCUUUGCAGUCAGAGAGCCAUACUCUUGAUGACAUGGGAACCGAGGCAAAUGUUCCUGGUCCAACAAGGACUGAGCUAGGAGCUGGGGCUGUUGACGGAGUUGUGCAAGGAGAAGAAGGAGAGGAUGAGGCUAGUUCUCAAUCUAUGGAACCUUAUGUUGGCAUGAGGUUUGACAGCCUUCAAAUUGCUAAGGAUCACUACAACAGCUAUGCACUACAGAUGGGUUUCUCUAUCAAGAUGAACACCUCUAGACGGGCACCCCGCACUAAUGAAUUGAUAAAACAAGAGUUUUGCUGCAACAAGUUCAAGAAGUCCAAAGAUGAUGAUGGAGGAGCUGAGGCUCCUCCUGUCCUGGACCCUAUUCCAGAUCCAAAAUCUGUUGACAGUGAUGAGGAGAUGGAAGAAGAACCUCCAAUAUUUGCUGAAGAGGAGGCUGGUACUAGUAAGAAGAAGAAGAAGAAGCGCAAACGCGAGACAAUAAAGCAGACUGAAUGCAAGGCGAAAAUGUUGGUGAAGCUAAUAGAUAAGCGAUGGGAGGUGACACACUUUGUUCGUGACCACAGUCAUCCGCUCAUGAACAAAAAUUCAUUGUCCAAAUAUUUGAGAUCCCACCAAGGCAUCUCACCUGAUGAAAAGGAGUUUCUGCGCAUCUUGUAUAACUGCAACUUGACUACAGGUGUGGUGUUUUUCUAUAUCCCUUAAAGAAUUAAGUUUCCCUCUAGGUAGUUCAGUGUGCAACUGUUAUGGUACUACUGUGCAACUAAAAUGGCUUAACUGUGCAACUGCUAUCCAACUUCCCAUGUUGUUUGUAUAUCACUUUUGGUGCUUGUUGUGCAACUACAUUGUCUUUACUGUGCAACUACACAAUGUCCUGUAUGCAAAAACUGUAAAGUGUUUUUAAAAAGGUGCAGCUAGGUGUCCAUUUCCUGCGAUUAUCUUCUGUGACAACACAUGUCCUAUUACUGUGCAGCUGAAUGUGCACAUUCGUGCAACUAAAAAAGGAUAUACCGUUUGUUUUUGUAUUAUGCAGGACGAAUGAUGCAUGUAAUGGCAGAGUUCUAUGGAUCUGAGAUGAUGGUGCCAUUCGGACCAAAGGCAAUAACAAAUCUUUGUGCAAGUUUCCGUAGAGAUGACACAAAGGAGGGUGAUCUGAUUGAGAUAAUUGCGCACUUCAAGGAUAUACAAAAAACCGAUCCAGACUUCUUCUAUAAGGUGAAAUAGGAUGAAGAGGACAGAGUUGUCAACAUAUUUUGGGUGGAUGGCUUAGCUCGAAAAGCUUAUGCGGAGGCGUACCACGAUUGCAUAUCAUUUGACACCACCUACAUGACCAACAUGUACAAUAUGUCAUUCGCGCCCUUUAUAGGAAUAAACCGACAUGGCCAAUCUUUCAUGCUGGGUUGCGCUUUUGUGAGGCAGGAGUUGGCAUCGAGCUUUGAUUGGGUCUUUAGAGCAUUCCUAGAGGCUAUGGAUGGCAAACCUCCUGACAACUUCAUCACCGAUCAGGAUGGUGCGAUGAGGCAGUUAAUACAGAGCAUCUUUCCAACCACCGUGCACCGCUGUUGUCGAUGGCACAUCAUGAAAAAGGCUCAGGAAAAAGUUGGUUGGCUGCUGUGCCGGAAUCCAAGACUCUCUGAUGAUUUCAACAAGUGUGUUGACUUCAGCUUCACUAUAGACGAGUUUGAGCAGAAUUGGGCUGGGUUAAUGAUGAAGUACGAGGCUAUGACACACACACACACACACAUACACUUUGAGAAGUUGUACGAAUACAGGUCAACUUGGGUGCCGUGCUACUUCAAACACAGGUUAUUCCCCUUCCUCCAGUCUACACAGCGUAGUGAGGGGUUCAACACCGUCCUGAAAAGAUAUGUGAACACACACAACUCAAUGCUGAACUUCAUCAAGCAAUAUGAAAAAAACCAGAACCACAUCCUUGCCAAGGAAGGCUGCAAUGAUUACAGGACAGAACACCUUGAGAUUGAGUUGUAGUCCAACUUCCCAAUAGAGAAGCAAGCUUACAAAACCUAUACUAGGGACCUUUACCGCAAGUUCAAAGAAGAGUUUGAGCUGAUUGGAUGUUAUAAUGCAUUUCAAGUUGGUGCUGAUAUAUUUGAGCUCAGACCGAACCAGGAAUUUGUUGCCAAAUAUGGUUCUCGAAACUACUUGGUGCAGGCAAGGGUGGAGGAGGGUUCCUAUUUGUGUGAGUGCUGUAAAAUGGACAAGGACGGCGUCCUCUGGUGCCACAUCCUCAAGGUGUUCACCCAUAUUGGAGUUGAUGUCAUACCAGAAAGGUACCUGCUAAAACGGUGGACACCUACUGCUGUACCUAGUGCGCCAGGGACUGGUUAUGAGCAACCAGAUGAAAUGCCUCCUCAAUCAAAGAAGCAGAUAAGGGAGAGGAACAUGAUAUACGAUUUUCGGAAACUAGCAAAGUUUACGAGUGGUUCUAAUCCAGCACAAGCUAUUGUAUACAAGCAUAUGCGUGCAGCACGUACCGAGAUCGGCCACCUGAACAAGUCCAAGAAAAAGAAAAAACCGACUGCUGCCACGGGGCCAUCAGAUGAUGGCAACCCUCGAGGACCUCCUCCACCUCCAGGCAGCAAUCAGGGGGCUCAUCAUCCAGGUAAUUGCCUGCUCCAACUCCUGAUCUAACUAGGUGUGUAACUUCAGUUGCACACAUCAUCGUGCCCAGUUGCACACACCAUGGUAGCCAGUUGGACAGAACAGGCUGCCUAGUUGCGCACACUAUGUUAGUUCAAGCAUCAAGAUAACACAACUAACUUAUUUUCCUGUUCUGGAUAUAGGUUAUGUCAACCCUCAAAGACCUCCUCCCCCUCCUGGCUGUACACGGCAUCCUCCACCACCUCCUCCCCCGCGUGCUCCUCCCAAUGGCCCUACAGGCAGCACUCAGGGGGCUCAUCGUCCAGGUAAUUACCUGCCCCCAACUCCCCAUCAAACUAGUUCUGUAACUCCAGUUGCACACCUCAUGGUGCUCAGUUGCACCAAACAGGCUACCUAGUUGUGCACGCUGUGUCAGUUCGAGCAUCAAAAGAUAAACACAACUAACUUGUUUGUCCUAUUCUGCCUAUAGGUGAUGCCAACCCUCAAAGACCUCCUCUCCCGCCAGGCCCAACUAGCAGUGCCCUGCGUGCUACUCCCAAUGGACCUACAGGCAGGACUCAGGGGGCUCAUCACCCAGGUAAGUACCUUCACCGACUCCAAACAAAAACUAGGGUGUGUGACUUUAGUUGCACAUAUCAUAGUGCCCAGUUGAACAAAACAUGCUGCCUAGUUGUGUGCGCUGUUUUAGUUUGAGGAUCAAGCUAAAAAACUAACUUGUUUUUCAUGUUUUGCCCAUAGGCGAUUACAAUCUGAAAGUGCAUUAUAUCGACUAGAGGGGGGUGAAUAGGCGAUUUUUAUGAAAGUCUUCAAAACGUAGAAGUUAUGAAGACAAACAGUAGAGAUAUGCCUAUUACUAUGCAGCGGAAGUUAGACUACACUAGGCAAGCCAUGGUCAAGUAUCAACAAAGUGAAAGCACAGUGACAAAUAGCUGUAGUGUAAUUAGGAUCAGGUAGGAAGAUACUAUGAAGCCAAACAAAUCAUACAGUUACGUUGUGAAGACAAAAGAUAUAGCAAGCAUGCAAUGGCUUCACAAUGAGUAACAGUAAGUAAAAGGAAGUGAAGAUGAAACCAGUGACUCGUUGAAGACAAUGAUGUGUUGGACCAGUUCCAGUUGCUGUGACAACUGUACGUCUGGUUGGAGCGGCUAGGUAUUUAAACCUUAGGACACACAGUCCCGGACACCCAGUCCUGAACACGCAGCUCAGGACACCAAGUCCUCACCGUAUUCUUCUUGAGCUAAGGUCACAUAGUCCUCGCCCAAUCACUCAGGUAAGUCUUCAAGGUAGACUCCCAAACCUUCACAGACUUCGUUCACUAGCAAUCCACAAUGUAUCUUGGAUGCUCAGAAUGCGACGCCUAACCGUCUGGAUGAUGCACAGUCCUCAAGUGUAAUAAGUCUUCAGAUCACACAGACAAGAAGACUUAAGUGAUGCCCAAUUUACUCUGGCUCUGGGUGGUUAGGGAUUUCUCCUCGCUAGGAAUUUUCUCUCAAAGGCUUCGAGGUGGGUUGCUCUCAAAUGACAAAAGUCGUGCACUGAAAUCUGAGCAGCCAACCGUUUAUGGUUGUAGGGGGUGGGCUAUUUACAGCUACUUGGCAACCCGACCUGAUUUGUCCGAAAUGACCCUGGGUCACUAAGGAACUGACACGUGUCUCAACGGUCAGAUUUUAAACUCUCAUGGCAACUGUACUUGGGCUACAAGCAAAGCUGACUUGUCCGGCUCUGGACAAAGCGCUCUCAUUGUCUUCACUCGAAGACAUAGGUUUUUGGUUUAGGCAUCACUUCAGUCAUUCUGACUGGUUCUCCUGGACCCCACUUAACAGUACGGUGGUUCCUAUGACUCAACACAAAAAGAAGAAGAACUACGAAAGAUCUAAGUCUUCGAGCUCCAUAGGCUUCAUAACGUGUCUUCUUUUAUCAUAGCCUUCAAUGUGAAUAUCUUCAUAUACCACCUUUGACUUCAAUGUCUUCAUACAUUUUUAGAGGUCACCUCUGGUAGUAAAACCGAAUCAAUGAGGGACUUCUACCUGUGUUAUCCUGCAAUUCUCACAAACACAUUAGUCCCUCAACUAGGUUUGUCGUCAAUACUCCAAAACCAACUAGGGGUGGCACUAGAUGCACUUAUAAUCUCCCCCUUUUUGGUGAUUGAUGACAAACUAGUUGAAGUUUUCAACGGGGAAUAUAGUCUGUGAAAUUGUAAAGAAUAAGGAAUUGUCUUCAUAAGUUGUAAGGGUUCCCCCUGAAGAUGUGCAUAUAAGUUAGUUUGCUUUUGGAAUGCAAAUGCACAUGGCAGGUUGUACUUGUGGAGAUCCACUUCAGCUUAUGAUGACAAUCCACUAUGCAUGUGAAAGUAUAUGAAGAUAAUGACAUGCAUAAUGGAAAAUGAACAUCUGCAGAAUGAGCUAAGUGCGGAAUUUAUCUUCGCAUAACAGGGUGGCAAACAAGUAGCAGACGACCAUCUGGUUUAAGUGUUACAACUCAUAAGAACCAAAUGUAGCAAAAAAAAGAGUUGUAAGCACGAAGCAAAAUAUAAGGCACCCGCCCAUAUGAACCCGCUUGAAGACUAUCAAUAUCUCAUAUGCUUCUCCCCCUUUUGUCAGUAAUGACCAAAAAGGGUUGAAGACAUAGAGUCUCUACUCGUUCCCAUGAGGAGUAGGUGAAGUAGCAGGGUUGUUGGCAUUGUUUGGCGGUGCAGAAGAGCUUGGAGGUGCUGAAGCAGGUGGUGGUGAAGUAGCAUCGUCUUCUUCCUCAAUAAUUCUGGCAGUGAUUGUGGCAGCAGAGGAAGAAAACUCAGAGUCUUCAAGAGAUGGAUUCCCCAUCAGCACAGCUCUUCGAGGAGGUGUGGAGUCAAAUUUGAAUCUCUCAGUGAAGCCAUCCUCUUGAAGAUCAGCUUCAGAAAGCAUCAUCGUUAGCCCUUUCCAUGUGCGGCGACAGGUUUCAUGGGCAACGAAAGCGUUCUUGGUGGCAAGAUUUCGGAUGCGAUUUACAUCCACCAAGAGGUUUUUCAUCUGUCUCUUCAACCAGUCAUGAUGCCUAUCCUGCUUUUGAUGAAGGGCCACAAGAAGCUCUCGGUCGUUGAGAACACGAGUGCGCUUCUUGGGUCUGGAAGCAGUUGCACUGUCAGUGGUUUCAGUUGAAGCAGGGUGUGGUGCACGUGUAGUGCCAGCCAAAGGAUACACCCUGGAGAUGGCUUCAACACCUUCAACGUUUUGAGUGAAGCUCUGGUGUUCUGCAUUCUGAAGACUCAAAGAUUGCUUGGCAGGCUCAGGAUAUAUAGCUUCAGCAGAGGUAUCCACAUCUGGCAAGAAGAUCUGAUGGUUGCGGGCUGAGGGCUAAUAUGAGAUCGCAGAGUGAAGCUUGAUCAGUCUCAUUACCCAAGGAGCAUAGAAUUUCAAACCAAGUAAAUCUGAGCCUGAUGCAGCAAGUUGGUGUAUGAAGAAGUCCUGUGCGUUGAAGCAUUUGCCAUGAAGUAUACAAAAUAUCAGAGUCUUCAUUGCACCCUCGAUCUUGGCAUUUGGAGAGUGCCCUUUGAUAGGCCAGAGAGUCCGCCGGAUAAUGUGAUAGAUGGUUCUGGGCAGGUACUCAAAGUCUUCAACGAAGAACUCUGUUGGAUAAGGAGCAUCGUGGGGCAAUGGCUUCAUUAUGGAGAGCAUCUGACUCAUAUUUGGUUCAGGCCUCUGGAAUAUGCUCUCAAGAGCUUCAGUGUGUAGUGGACAUCCUUCCUCAAAGAAUUCGCCAGGAGUGGGCAGGCCGGUGAGCUCAAUGAUAUCAAAUGCAUUGGCUUCGUGAUGGACAUUGCCGGUCAUCCACUGCAGGGCCCAAGUCUUCGAAUCUCUGUUGUAUCCUUUGAUGUGGAGGGUGGCAUAGAAUUGCAGCAGAAACUCUUCAUUCCAGUGCUCUUCAUCAGUUACAAACUGUAGCAGACCCACUUGCUUGAAGCUAUCCAACGCUUCCUCUAAACAGGGUAGACCAGCAAUGGCUUCAACAUCAAGGCGCUUGUGCGGGAAGAUGCGACCUUGGUUGUAUAGGAUGCAUGAAUAGUAGCUGCGCUGAGGAUAGCUCCAGAACCGAUCUGAUGAAAUCCUUUCCCUUGAAUAGGGGUUCUUGGAGCUGUUGAAGAACGUAUUAUCUGCCUUGAAGCUAUUGAUGUUAAAGGAGCCAGGUGCUGAUGCAGGACCUGGGAACCUCGGCAGCCUUGGGACUGGCUUCUGGACAUGAGGCCUGUGCUCAACAUGGUAAUCAAAUUGAGGACAUGCAGCAAACUCAGGAACAGAAGUGUCUUGAUCAGUAGCUUCGCUGUCUUCUGAAGCUUUUGGUGGGGAGGGCUCCACAUUGGCUUCAGUGUUGGUUGUGGCAGCCUCAAUAUUUUCAGCCUCCGCUUGACUAGCUGGAGGGUCGGUCACACGCACAUUCUCCUGGAGAACUGCUUCUUGGUGGAGCAUAGGAGUGGGCUCUUGUGGUGCUUCUUCUGCGGCUGAUGCAGCCGGAAUGUCUUCAGCAUAGACUUGAGGCCUUGGACCUUUGCGAAGCCUGCGGAAUGCAGACGACGCCUGUGGGGUUGGAGUGGGCUGGGCCUCAUUGUCUUCUUCCUCUUGAGGGUGAUCCGCCCAUGAAGCAUCCUGUGCAAUUGGCAUCAGUGGAUGACCAAUGCUGAUGAGUUCGCUGUGUUCUAAUUGAGGAAGGGCUGCAUCAUCUUCUACAUUGUCACGAUGACCAAUGUCUUCAUCAGCGAUGGGAUCAGCUGCUAGAAUGUCUUCAGGAACAGGAGCCUCUAUGGAAGCAGGCUCAUGCACCGUCAGUUGACGUUCUGCGUCAGGGUGAAUCAUAGAAAUAGGUUCAACUAUCAAGGGCUCUGUGGGAGCAGCCCGAGAUUUCUUGGUCUUUCUCUUUUUCUUGCUGGGGGCAGUAGGAGAGGCUUCAGAGCUUUUUCUCUUCCUGGCUUCAGCCUCGGCAAUUCUUGUCUUCUUGAGCUCUGAAGCUGUUAACCGGCUCUUUGGCUUUGAGCCAGUCGUUGCAGUUGGGAAGACAAGCGGAACUGCGUCCUGCCUUGGUGCCUCUGGUUCAGCUGGAACAGUCUUCUUCUUUUUCUUUGCGGCCAUCUUGGGGUCGAUGCCAGGACGCCCAAGUGCCUUGCGCUUCUCAGCCUCAUUGUAGGCUUGCACACAUCUGUCAGCCAGAGACUUCAUUCGCUCACGUGAACCCUGAGCUUCUGCACGCUUCUUCAGAAAGUUUUCCUUAAGCUCAUGCAACAUGAUCUUGAAGCUCUUUACUUCUUGCACGCUGAGCUUGGCCAUAUGCUUCUUGAACUGAGCCUUUUCAUGAUCAAUUUUCUGCUUCAUCUCAACUAUGCGCUGGGCAAUGGCAAGUUCUGAAGCAAUAGCGCCUUGGAAGGCGACACUGAGGCCAACGGGCAACUGUAGAUCGUCAAAGCUAAUGUUUGGUGUGGCAAACCACUCGUCAAUGAAGUUGUGGAUGAUGGCGACAUCAAAGAGAGGCAGAUUGUUGAAGAUUUCUGCUUCCUCUUUGCUCUUGAUGAGUUGCUCAAGAGUGUCAUCUCCAAGAUCUUCAUCACUCGACAGAUUAAUGGCUUCGCUGCGCAGGAUGGCAGCAGCUGUGAGCUCUUUGCCAGUGUGAGACAGAGGCAUCUUGGCCUUCUGGGGCUUGGAGACGCGGGAUACGUCUUCAGACCGCACACAGUCUUCAGGAGGUGCAGUUGCCAAUGGCUUCGCCCUUGAGAUUUUUGGUGAAGGGGCCGGCUUUGAAGCUUUUGGCUUCUUCGACUGCUUUGGCUUCGGCACAGCAGGAGCUUCAUUAGAUUCAGAGUCAGCUGGAGGGUCAUUCACGGCAGUCCCUUGGACUAAGAUGCGGGUGAUGAGGUCCUCAAGGUUGGCAUACGGACCGAUGAUAUUGGGUUCUGUGUCGCGUGUGCCAUCUGCCCUUGGUGCGGAGGGACCAGGGUUGAAGUCUAACCCCAACUUCUUCUUGUUCUGCUUCGCUGAUUGUUGGGCAAACUGGAAGUUGCGCUUGAACAGAUUGUCGUCACGACACCAGAGUAGUGACGACGGAUGUGCAUCAUCAGGCUGUGGCCCACGAACCAUGCAUGGAUAGAAGCUUUGGGCAAUAGCUUCAUCUCUAGACCUGGGUACAAGGUUCUUGUAUAAGAUGUCUCCCCACGGUCUUUUGAUGGCACUUUUCUCAGCAUAUUCUUGGGUUGUGAAGCGGUAUUUGAACCAUUGUUCUGCCCAAUAGCGUCGAAUCCAUUGGAUUCGGGUCUUGUGCUGCCCAUUAUUCUCUUCAGGAUCUGUUUUAUACAUUUCUGCCAGUUCAUCAGGCAGAUCUUUGGAUGUUCCUCCACGUCGCUGUCUGCCCCCCUUCCUUGCUGCUGUUUCUGAAGCCAUAAACUUUAACUUGAAAGGCUUCAAGACGUUCAAAGGCUUCAAAGGCUUUUUCUUGCUGAACCAACAGGAACUGGCUUCAGGAGAAUUUAUGUGAUGCUUUAGGAAUUCUGCAAAUGAAUGCAGACUAUGAGAACCAAAGGAUUCUCCCACGGACAUGUACCUGUGACAACAUUAAGGUGCGAGGGAAGGGGAAGAGGUCAUAUGCAUUCUCAGAAGAUUUUGAAGAUAAAUCAGUUUAGAAGACAUUGACCUCAUCGUGCGAAGACAUUCACUCAUAGAUAAGAAGUUGGUUCCAAAUUUGUAUGAAUCCACUGAUCAGUACAAGUGAGGAAUCUAACUACUUUUGGAGCACAAGUGAAUAUUCCAGGCAUGUUAUGAGAUGCAGUUUGAGAGAGAUCUAGUUUGUGUGAGCAGAAACUGCUUGUGGUAGAAAGUGACAGAUCAAUAGGAUCAACGUUGCUGUAAAAAGGCAGUUUUAUUUACCACACUGAGAACUGCUAGACGGAGCGAGAGAUGAGGCCGAGCAGUUCACUCGUCUGUGCCCUAACUUGGCGACGGAGGAGACCUACGGCGACGGCGGAGAGGACGAUGUCCGCGGUCGGCGUGAAGACGGCGUCGGAGAGGUUGCGGCAGCGAAGCGCUUCAUCGCCGGCGUCGUCGAGAGCUAGCGGUGGCGCUAGGGUUCGUGCGAGGGUGGAAGAAGAGAUAGUUACCGCUGUAAGUGUGUAUUUAUAGGCACAGGGGCGGCACUGUGCUAUUACACAGGUGCCCCUGACGAUUCGCAUUAGAGUAAUACGUGGCCAUCAUGCGGUAUUUUGGGGGCAGUUCCACGUCCCACGCACGCCUGGAUUGUCGGGUGGUCAUUCCUACUUCUCCGGAUUUCAUGUGGAUAAAUGAGCAUUGAAAACAGACUUAAAUGUUGUCUCUGUGUCUUCUGCUGACAAGGACGCAGAGAAGACAUUUGACAGUUUCAAUAGAAUGCAUAUGACUUGGAGAGAUAGAAUUUUGAGAUAGAGAGCAUAGAGAGGUUAGAGUCCGAUCACAUUCACUUAGUUCAAAAGAUUCAACAAGAAGACAUAACUAUAAGUGAAUGCUGUAGAGGACAGAACACCAGUAUAUAUAUAUCUCUAUAUAAUCAACAUAGUGAAGAUAAUCAUGAAGACAUGUUGAGAUUGAAGCCAAACCAAAUGUGAAGACAUUGCAAGGUAACGCCAUGAGUGAAACACUUCAAAAUAGAACGUUUGAUGGUGGCGUUACCCACCGUAUAGGAAGUAUUAGACCCAGACACGGCGCACAAUUAUAGUGGCGCUCCGAAGUCAAAUUCCACAUCAAUGUAUUCACACUUAGAAUGUAUAUCUUCAUUGAUUGAAGAUACACUUUACUUCGUGUGUUGUACAUCUAAGUCAUCAAUAUGCAUAAGAGUUAGGAUGUGUGCCUGAUCACAGGACAUUUGAGGAUUCUAAGAUAUUUAGCUCACACCGUAACUUGCAAAACCUCUUCUCAUCCAAGGGCUUGGUGAAGAUAUCUGCCAAUUGCUCUUCAGUGUUGACGUGUAUGAUAUCAAUGUCUUCCUUCACAACAUGAUCUCUGAGAAAGUGAUGACGAAUUUCAAUGUGCUUUAUCUUCGAGUGCUGAACUGGGUUGUUGGCAAUCUUGAUGGUGCUUUCAUUGUCGCAGUAAAGUGGCACUUGCUUCAGAUGUAUGCCAUAGUCCUUGAGUGUUUGCUUCAUCCACAGAAGCUGAGCGCAGCAAGAUCUAGCAGCAAUGUAUUCAGAUUUAGCAGUGGAGAGAGAUACACAGUUCUGCUUCUUUGAAGACCAACAUACAAGUGAUCGUCCCAGAAAGUGACAUGUGCCUGAUGUAGACUUGCGAUCAACUUUGUCACCAGCAUAAUCAGCAUACGAAAAUCCAACCAAAUCAAACUCUGAGCCCUUUGGAUAUCAUAAUCCUAGAGUUGGGGUGUGAGCCAAAUAUCAAAGAAUUCGCUUCACAGCUAAGUGAUGCGAUUCCUUUGGUGCCGCUUGAAAUCGAGCACACAUGCAAACACUAAGCAUAAUAUCUGGCCUAGAUGCACAUAAAUAAAGUAAAAAAAUAAUCAUGGAGCGGUAUACCUUUUGAUUGAACUCUUUAUCAUUGUCGUCAGGACCCAGAUGAUGUUUGGCUGGCAUUGGUGUUGUGAAGCCUUUGCAGUCCUGCAUACCGAACUUCUUCAGGCAAUCUUUGAGAUACUUCUCUUGAGAUAUGAAGAUGCCAUUGCGUUGUUGUCGUAUUUGAAGACCAAGGAAGAACUUCAGCUCCCCCAUCAUAGACAUCUGAUAUUGCUCUUGCAUCAUAUAGCCAAACUCUUCACUGU